RNAcentral lists this ribosomal RNA (467 nucleotides) under uncultured bacterium. RNAcentral describes it as "partial 16S ribosomal RNA". It matches the Rfam family "Bacterial small subunit ribosomal RNA", at positions 28 to 506 of the family's 1533-position model. The record is from RNAcentral.
GACGAACGCUGGCGGCGUGCUUAACACAUGCAAGUCGAACGGAAAGGCCCUGCUUUUGUGGGGUGCUCGAGUGGCGAACGGGUGAGUAACACGUGAGUAACCUGCCCUUGACUUUGGGAUAACUUCAGGAAACUGGGGCUAAUACCGGAUAGGAGCUCCUGCUGCAUGGUGGGGGUUGGAAAGUUUCGGCGGUUGGGGAUGGACUCGCGGCUUAUCAGCUUGUUGGUGGGGUAGUGGCUUACCAAGGCUUUGACGGGUAGCCGGCCUGAGAGGGUGACCGGCCACAUUGGGACUGAGAUGGGGCCCAGCCCCCCACGGGGGGCAGGGGUGGGGAAUUUUGCAAAAGGGGCGGAAGCCUGAUGCAGCAACGCCGGGGGGGGGAUGGCGGCCUUCGGGUUGUAACCCGCUUUCCCCUGUAACGAGGCGUGAGUGAGGGUAAUGGGUAAAGAAGCCCCGGCUAACUACGU